Molecule: ribosomal RNA, 468 nt
Filed under: uncultured bacterium
Lineage: Bacteria
Description: partial 16S ribosomal RNA
Rfam family: Bacterial small subunit ribosomal RNA
Source: RNAcentral
GACGAACGCUGGCGGCGUGCUUAACACAUGCAAGUCGAACGGAAAGGCCCUGCUUUUGUGGGGUGCUCGAGUGGCGAACGGGUGAGUAACACGUGAGUAACCUGCCCUUGACUUUGGGAUAACUUCAGGAAACUGGGGCUAAUACCGGAUAGGAGCUCCUGCUGCAUGGUGGGGGUUGGAAAGUUUCGGCGGUUGGGGAUGGACUCGCGGCUUAUCAGCUUGUUGGUGGGGUAGUGGCUUACCAAGGCUUUGACGGGUAGCUGGCCUGAGAGGGUGACCGGCCUCAUUGGGACUGAGAUACGGCCCAGACUCCUACGGGAGGCAGCAGUGGGGAAUAUUGCACAAUGGGCGGAAGCCUGAUGCAGCAACGCCGCGUGCGGGAUGACGGCCUUCGGGUUGUAAACCGCUUUCGCCUGUGACGAAGCGUGAGUGACGGUAAUGGGUAAAGAAGCACCGGCUAACUACGUG